This 979-nucleotide long non-coding RNA is filed under the name Fukomys damarensis (Damara mole-rat). Its description in RNAcentral is "lncRNA (ENSFDAG00000029629.1)". The record is from RNAcentral. Lineage: Eukaryota; Metazoa; Chordata; Mammalia; Rodentia; Bathyergidae.
GGAAAUUUAUGAACCUAGCUGUAUAUGCAAAUGUAUGAAAACACACGCAAAUUGGCCUCUAAGCCAAGCCCCCUGAGAAGGAAAUAUUCCUAUAUGAAUGAAUAUAUAUAUUUUUUGUUUGUCUGUUUGUUUGGGGGUAGUGGAGCUAGGGAUUGAACUUGGGCUCACACACACAAGGCAAGUGCUUUACCGCUGGGCUACACCCCUGGCCUCCAUAUUUUUUCAACCAGAUUACAACUCUGCUGUGUAUGUUGGUUUUCCUGUUCGUGACCUCGCUAGUAUGCCCUUCAUAGAGAUCCAGAGGCAAUUCCAACGUCAGCGACUGCAUGAGAGGGACCAAAGAGACCACACACACUGGCAGGCCCCUGAGCUUCCAGCAAAGUUCCCUGGCAGUGCGGCCUUAAACUCAGAGGUCCUCAGCAGAGGAUAAACACAAAGGACCACCCAAUCUUGGGCUUCCAGCCUCCAAACUUGUAACCUGAACAUACGGUAUGGACCUUCAAUUUCCCCCAAAUACCAACAUGUUCAAUACUUGAUCCUCAGCCUAUGGCUCAGCUGGGAAGUGGUGGGACCUUUAGUGGGUGGUGCCUAAUGGGAGGAAGUGAGGUCACUGGGGGAGUGGCCUUGGAGGUGAUCGUGGAACCAUGACCCUGCCUCUCUCUGCUUCCUGUUGCGGUUUAUAUCUAGAUUUCCCCCCAACACGUCAUGUGAUCAUAGGCAGGAUCUUCAGGAGGUGAGUGGAUUAUGGGGGUUUAUAGCUGGUUUGCUGUUAGGAGGUGGGGCCUGGUCGGAAGAGAUGGGUCAUUGUGGCUGUGACCCGGAAGGGUUUAUCUCCUCCCUUGACUCUCUUCAAUUCCUGUCUACAUUGCCAUGAGUAGCUUUCCUCCACCAUGCACUUCUGCCUUGCUGUCCUGCCUUGAAGUCAGCAAACCGUGGACUAUAAACAUGAGCCCAAAUGACCCGUCCUCCUUUACUUUAC